GCCGUCAAUGGGCGGCUUGGCGCCCUUGCCGGUUUCAGGCCGGGGGCGAACGGAUGAGUCUUUUGCAGCGACCGUUCAAACGGUUUUGUUGGCU
RNAcentral lists this transfer RNA (94 nucleotides) under Pseudomonas matsuisoli. Its description in RNAcentral is "tRNA-Sec". The record is from RNAcentral. Lineage: Bacteria; Pseudomonadati; Pseudomonadota; Gammaproteobacteria; Pseudomonadales; Pseudomonadaceae.